This 279-nucleotide ribosomal RNA is filed under the name uncultured bacterium. Its description in RNAcentral is "partial 16S ribosomal RNA". It matches the Rfam family "Bacterial small subunit ribosomal RNA", at positions 506 to 784 of the family's 1533-position model. The record is from RNAcentral.
UGCCAGCAGCCGCGGUAACACGGGGGGCGCAAGCGUUAUUCGGAAUUAUUGGGCGUAAAGGGCGCGCCGGCGGUCUUGUCGGUCAGGUGUGAAAGCUCGGGGCUCAACCCCGGAAGUGCACUUGAAACAGCAAGACUUGAAUACGGGAGAGGAGAGAGGAAUUCCUGGUGUAGAGGUGAAAUUCGUAGAUAUCAGGAGGAACACCGGUGGCGAAGGCGGUCACCUGGACUUCAACUGACGCUGAGGCGCGAAAGCGUGGGGAGCAAACCGGAUUAGAUA